RNAcentral lists this transfer RNA (77 nucleotides) under Candidatus Doudnabacteria bacterium RIFCSPHIGHO2_01_FULL_45_18. RNAcentral describes it as "tRNA-Ile". It matches the Rfam family "tRNA". From Rfam's summary of the family: Transfer RNA (tRNA) molecules are approximately 80 nucleotides in length. Their secondary structure includes four short double-helical elements and three loops (D, anti-codon, and T loops). Lineage: Bacteria; Candidatus Doudnaibacteriota. The record is from RNAcentral. RNAcentral also lists the same sequence under 1 other name.
GGGCAUGUAGCUCAACUGGUUAGAGCAUCUGUCUUAUACACAGAGGGUUCCUGGUUCGAGUCCAGGCAUGCCCACCA